RNAcentral lists this ribosomal RNA (497 nucleotides) under uncultured bacterium. RNAcentral's name for it is "partial 16S ribosomal RNA". It matches the Rfam family "Bacterial small subunit ribosomal RNA", at positions 28 to 507 of the family's 1533-position model. The record is from RNAcentral.
GAUGAACGCUGGCGGCGUGCCUAACACAUGCAAGUCGAGCGAACAGACGAGGCGCUUGCUCCUCUGACGUUUGCGGCGCACGGGUGAGUCACACGUGGAUCACCUACUUAUAAUUCUGGGAACACUUCGGGAAACCGGCGCAAAUCCCGGAUAAUAUACUGCACCGCAUGGUUGAAUAGUGAAAGACGGCUUUGCUGGCUCUUAUAGAUGGAUCCGCGCUGCAUUAGCUAGUUGGUACGGUACCAGCUUUUCACGGCAACGAUGCGUAGCCGACCUGACAGGGUGAUAGGCCACACGGGAGCGGAGACACGGACCAUACGCCUACGGGAGGCAGCAGACGGGAAUCUUCCGCAACGGGCGGAAACCUGACGGAGCAACGCCGCGUGAGUUAUGGAGGUCUUCGGAUCGUAAAACUCGGUUAUUGGGGAAGAACAAAUGUGUAAGGAACUAUGCACGUCUUGACGGUAACGAAUCAGAAAGCCACGGCUAACUACGUG